GACGAACGCUGGCGGCGUGCUUAACACAUGCAAGUCGAACGGAAAGGCCCUGCUUUUGUGGGGUGCUCGAGUGGCGAACGGGUGAGUAACACGUGAGUAACCUGCCCUUGACUUUGGGAUAACUUCAGGAAACUGGGGCUAAUACCGGAUAGGAGCUCCUGCUGCAUGGUGGGGGUUGGAAAGUUUCGGCGGUUGGGGAUGGACUCGCGGCUUAUCAGCUUGUUGGUGGGGUAGAGGCUUACCAAGGCUUUGACGGGUAGCCGGCCUGAGUGGGUGACCGGCCACAUUGGGACUGAGAUACGGCCCAGAGUCGUACGGUAGGCAGCAGUGGGGAAUAUGGCACAAUGGGCGGAAGCCUGAUGCAGCAACGCCGCGUGCGGGAUGACGGCCUUCGGGUUGUAAACCGCUUUCGCCUGUGACGAAGCGUGAGUGACGGUAAUGGGUAAAGAAGCACCGGCUAACUACGUG
This 468-nucleotide ribosomal RNA is filed under the name uncultured bacterium. Its description in RNAcentral is "partial 16S ribosomal RNA". It matches the Rfam family "Bacterial small subunit ribosomal RNA", at positions 28 to 507 of the family's 1533-position model. The record is from RNAcentral.